AUACGGAGGGAGCGAGCGUUAAUCGGAAUUACUGGGCGUAAAGCGCGCGUAGGCGGCUGAUUAAGUCAGAUGUGAAAUCCCAGGGCUCAACCUUGGAACUGCAUCUGAUACUGGUCAGCUAGAGUUUGGGAGAGGGAAGUAGAAUUUCAGGUGUAGCGGUGAAAUGCAUAGAUAUCUGAAGGAAUACCAGUGGCGAAGGCGGCUUCCUGGCCUAAAACUGACGCUGAGGUGCGAAAGCGUGGGUAGCAAACGGGAUUAGAUACCCCAGUAGUCC
This 274-nucleotide ribosomal RNA is filed under the name uncultured bacterium. RNAcentral describes it as "partial 16S ribosomal RNA". It matches the Rfam family "Bacterial small subunit ribosomal RNA", at positions 523 to 796 of the family's 1533-position model. The record is from RNAcentral.